Molecule: small nuclear RNA, 135 nt
Organism: Gorilla gorilla gorilla (western lowland gorilla)
Lineage: Eukaryota; Metazoa; Chordata; Mammalia; Primates; Hominidae
Gene: U1
Rfam family: U1 spliceosomal RNA
About the family: U1 is a small nuclear RNA (snRNA) component of the spliceosome (involved in pre-mRNA splicing). Its 5' end forms complementary base pairs with the 5' splice junction, thus defining the 5' donor site of an intron.
Source: Ensembl
CCACUUAUCUGGCAGGGGAAAUCCUAUGGUUACCAAAGUGAUUCGUCCUAAGGUUGAGGCUCAUCCAUUGCACUCCAGAUGUGCUGUUCUCUUGUUGUUUCCCCUAAUGUGUGAAGCUCAGCUGCAUAACUGAGC